RNAcentral lists this ribosomal RNA (408 nucleotides) under Streptococcus anginosus. RNAcentral describes it as "bacterial SSU rRNA". It matches the Rfam family "Bacterial small subunit ribosomal RNA", at positions 28 to 418 of the family's 1533-position model. The record is from RNAcentral. Lineage: Bacteria; Bacillati; Bacillota; Bacilli; Lactobacillales; Streptococcaceae.
GACGAACGCUGGCGGCGUGCCUAAUACAUGCAAGUAGGACGCACAGCCUAUACCGUAGCUUGCUACACCAUAGGCUGUGAGUUGCGAACGGGUGAGUAACGCGUAGGUAACCUGCCUAUUAGAGGGGGAUAACUAUUGGAAACGAUAGCUAAUACCGCAUAACAGUAUGUAACACAUGUUAGAUGCUUGAAAGAUGCAAUUGCAUCGCUAGUAGAUGGACCUGCGUUGUAUUAGCUAGUAGGUAGGGUAAAGGCCUACCUAGGCAACGAUACAUAGCCGACCUGAGAGGGUGAUCGGCCACACUGGGACUGAGACACGGCCCAGACUCCUACGGGAGGCAGCAGUAGGGAAUCUUCGGCAAUGGGGGGAACCCUGACCGAGCAACGCCGCGUGAGUGAAGAAGGUUUU